Molecule: ribosomal RNA, 208 nt
Filed under: uncultured bacterium
Lineage: Bacteria
Description: partial 16S ribosomal RNA
Rfam family: Bacterial small subunit ribosomal RNA
Source: RNAcentral
CGCGUAGGUGGCCUGAUAAGGGUGUGGUGAAAGUCCGGGGCUCAACCCCCGGAUCUGCCGUGCCGACUGUCAGGCUAGAGUACUGUAGGGGCAGGCGGAAUUCCGGGUGUAGCGGUGGAAUGCGUAGAGAUCCGGAGGAAGACCGGUGGCGAAGGCGGCCUGCUGGGCAGUUACUGACACUGAGGCGCGACAGCGUGGGGAGCAAACA